GCUAGCUUUGGCUUUUCAUAUAACAACAUUGGAACGAUAUAGAGACGAUUUGAAUAAUCUCUGCGCAAGAUCAAAAUGUACUACUCAACGCCUUUAGUUGAAAUUUU
This 107-nucleotide small nuclear RNA is filed under the name Anopheles stephensi (Asian malaria mosquito). The record is from RNAcentral. Lineage: Eukaryota; Metazoa; Arthropoda; Insecta; Diptera; Culicidae.